This 582-nucleotide ribosomal RNA is filed under the name uncultured bacterium. RNAcentral describes it as "bacterial SSU rRNA". It matches the Rfam family "Bacterial small subunit ribosomal RNA", at positions 102 to 680 of the family's 1533-position model. The record is from RNAcentral.
ACGGGUGAGUAACGUCUGGGAAACUGCCCGAUGGAGGGGGAUAACUACUGGAAACGGUAGCUAAUACCGCAUAACGUCGCAAGACCAAAGUGGGGGACCUUCGGGCCUCACACCAUCGGAUGUGCCCAGAUGGGAUUAGCUAGUAGGUGGGGUAAUGGCUCACUUAGGCGACGAUCCCUAGCUGGUCUGAGAGGAUGACCAGCCACACUGGAACUGAGACACGGUUCAGACUCCUACGGGAGGCAGCAGUGGGGAAUAUUGCACAAUGGGCGCAAGCCUGAUGCAGCCAUGCCGCGUGUAUGAAGAAGGCCUUCGGGUUGUAAAGUACUUUCAGCGGGGAGGAAGGCGGUGGAGUUAAUAGCUUCACCGAUUGACGUUACCCGCAGAAGAAGCACCGGCUAACUCCGUGCCAGCAGCCGCGGUAAUACGGAGGGUGCAAGCGUUAAUCGGAAUUACUGGGCGUAAAGCGCACGCAGGCGGUCUGUCAAGUCGGAUGUGAAAUCCCCGGGCUUAACCUGGGAACUGCAUUCGAAACUGGCAGGCUGGAGUCUUGUAGAGGGGGGUAGAAUUCCAGGUGUAGCG